AAAGCCCGCAAGGGUAAGUAGAGUGGCAAACGGGUGAGUAACACGUAGGUGACCUGCCUCAGAGUGGGGGAUAACGACCCGAAAGGGUCGCUAAUACCGCAUAACAUCCCGCGUUUAGAGACGUGGAGAUCAAAGCCGGGGAUCGCAAGACCUGGCGCUCAGAGAGGGGCCUGCGGCCGAUUAGCUAGUUGGUGAGGUAACGGCUCACCAAGGCAACGAUCGGUAUCCGGCCUGAGAGGGCGGACGGACACACUGGGACUGAGACACGGCCCAGACUCCUACGGGAGGCAGCAGUGGGGAAUUGUUCGCAAUGGGCGCAAGCCUGACGACGCAACGCCGCGUGGAGGAUGAAGAUCUUCGGGUCGUAAACUCCUUUCGAUCGGGAAGAACGUUUUCCGGGUGAACAAUCCGGAGAAGUGACGGUACCGAGAGAAGAAGCCCCGGCUAACUCUGUGCCAGCAGCCGCGGUAAUACAGGGGGGGCAAGCGUUGUUCGGAAUUACUGGGCGUAAAGGGCCAGUAGGCGGCCAACUAAGUCACACGUGAAAUCCCCAGGCUUAACCUGGGAACUGCGUGUGAUACUGGAUGGCUUGAAUUCGGGAGAGGGAUGCAGAAUUCCAGGUGUAGCGGUGAAAUGCGUAGAUAUCUGGAGGAAUACCGGUGGCGAAGGCGGCAUCCUGGACCGACAUUGACGCUGAACGGCGAAAGCUAGGGGAGCAAACGGGAUUAGAUACCCCGGUAGUCCUAGCCCUAAACGAUGAAUGUUUGGUGUGGCGGGUAUCGAUCCCUGCCGUGCCGAAGCUAACGCAUUAAACAUUCCGCCUGGGGAGUACGGUCGCAAGGCUG
This 845-nucleotide ribosomal RNA is filed under the name uncultured Bacillota bacterium. RNAcentral's name for it is "bacterial SSU rRNA". It matches the Rfam family "Bacterial small subunit ribosomal RNA", at positions 72 to 896 of the family's 1533-position model. Lineage: Bacteria; Bacillati; Bacillota. The record is from RNAcentral.